AAUGGUUUUUAUAUGUGCCAGUUCUGAGUCCCACCAUGCUUCCCAACUUUCUUCACCCUUAACACCAAUUCCACCUCGGUAAAAAAGCCAAUUGGUCCAUUCCCUGAAAUCCUCCACGGUCUUCUGCCACUCAAACCCUGACGGGUUGAACAGAUAGGGAGCAAAAAGCCAAGAUAUUGCCAUGAACCAACUGCUAAGAGUUACAAGGAUGUAUGCUAACGAACCACCUGAACUAUAUCCAUAGGCCAUGUAUACAACCAACAGAAGCACAACUUCCAAUCCUUUAACAAAAUGGCUGCGGG
This 302-nucleotide unclassified non-coding RNA is filed under the name Hevea brasiliensis (rubber tree). The record is from RNAcentral. Lineage: Eukaryota; Viridiplantae; Streptophyta; Magnoliopsida; Malpighiales; Euphorbiaceae.